RNAcentral lists this long non-coding RNA (4843 nucleotides) under Sus scrofa (pig). Its description in RNAcentral is "lncRNA (ENSSSCG00030005498.1)". The record is from RNAcentral. Lineage: Eukaryota; Metazoa; Chordata; Mammalia; Artiodactyla; Suidae.
AGCUGCCGGCCGACACCACAGCCACAGCCACGCCAGAUCUGAGCCACAUCUGUGACCUACACCACAUAACGCCAGAUCCUGAACCCACUGAGCAAGUCCAGGGAUCAAACCUGCAUCCUCAUGGGCACUGGUCUGCUUCUUAACCCGCUGAGCCACAGCGGGAACUCCUGCAGCCAUGAGUCUUGACUAUUGCGCUAUGUCCUCAGCUUUACAUGAAAGGUGAUGCUCUCAGGGAUCCAAAGUCACUAACCAGUCUAGCCUUGGCAAAGCAAGAUUAGGAAAAACGCCCAAGACCCAUCGGCUCUCAAUCACCCCGGACUGACCACCGCCAUGAAGACGCAUCUGCUGAGGGGGAGGCUGGUCAGAAGCAGGGGCUGCCAAGGUGGGUGGGGGCCCGGCCCGGGCUUCGAGGGCAGAGGAAGGAUGGGGACAGCGUCACGUGCAAGUCGAUGCGAGGGCUCAGAGGAGGGGACGUCGCUCCUUUGGCUGGUGACGUUCAGGACCCUUCUUCUCUUGCCGCGGGUUCCCUGCAGGCCACAGAGGCUCACAGAACUCAGUGCCAGGGGCCCAUCCAUCAUGGGACAGCUGUGCCCAAGGGCAUCCUAUCAGCAGCUGCAGGGUCCAAGCCCUCAGACUCGUGUGCCUACAGUCAGCCUGUGACAACGGUUGGAGGUCAACCACCCUUGUCCCUUGCGUGCAUGUCCUCAGGGUCCACAUUGCCUCCUGGCACCAUCCUGCGGUAGGGCACAGGGGUUGGGUGUGGGGACUCAGGUGCCAGAUGGCGCAGGCUCAGGAGCCUGGCCUCUGCUGCAAAGCCUUUCCCACCUGGAGGAUGGAGACAGAGCAUCACCUCACGCAUGGGGCUCGGGUCUGCUCCCGCACCCUGUGCAGGGGGCGUGUUGGCUCCGCGAACAUUGGCUGCUUCUACAAGGCUCCGUUCCUCUCCCUCUCCCUGCGAGGCUGAGCUGGAGAAUCACGGGGGCCAGAGGCCACGUCGAUGGAGCAACGGAGGGCAGACAGGACGGCCUCUUCCACCUUCGACACAGCUCUGACCUUGUCACGGGGCAGGGAGGGAAUGGAGCUGGCAGCUCGCUUGGCCUUUCCUCGCUGGAUGUGCCUCCCAGGCCCCCUCUUCAGGGAUGAGGGCUCGUUCUGGCGGCGGCGGCGGCUCAAGGCCGCCCCUUGAAGGAAGCACCUCACCCAAGGCCUGGCUGCCCUCAUCGGACGCGCGACUGAAGAACCCAGCACAACCCGGAUGCGUCGACCAAGGUCUUCAUCCGAGUCCUGAGCAGCACCCCCAAAGCAUGUCGACACCCUGAGUCUGCUUUGGGGGUGCUUCUCUCCAACUCUGAAAUUCUAAAUGACCCCCUCCCCUCCCCCUCUUCUUCCCUGCGAGUGCAGAGGGAAGGUGAGACUUAGGGGCCCGGGAGUCCUGCCUCCCCAGUGGUCCUGGACCCCGACAACUACCCAACACCACUGCUGCUGGGUGACGGAGGCGAUGUCGUAAUUUGCUUUGGCCAUUUCUGGGCAUCCUGUGACUUGAGACUUUUCUAAUGGUGAGAUGGCUUUAGUUUAACCUUCAAAAGCCAAAGCCACCUAGGCAGAACCCAGGCAGGUGUUUAGGGAGUGCCUGAUGCACAGGACACCUCUGGCACUUUGAGGAAAGACUAAUGGAAGAGAAAUUCCGCCCAAGGGGUCCGGGGGUGGAAGGGGGCCCAGCCUCCCUCUCUCCAGAGGACCUCUCUUCCUGCAAGAAUGAGGCACGAAGAGCAGGUCCAGCCUGACCCUGGCCCCCCUCAGUCCAGGGGAGUGUGCAGAAGCCCUCAGACCACAGGCAGCUCGGAGAACCAGCAUCCUCCGAGGAGGGACUGGACACUGGCCGGCAUCUCUUCCAUCUGUCACAGAACAGAUUCAGGAAAGGCAGGCCCCUGAGGCUUCCAGCAGGGCGGGGACACCAGGCUGGGGCGGUGUCACCGCACCACCUGGGGAUGUAUUUCCCACUGGUACCAAGGAAUGGUUCCCUUGGGACCCAGCCACGGGCAAGUCCUGAGCAGCACUGGGCGGGGACACAGGAUGCCACCCCCAGCGAGACUGUGGUUCUCUGAAGAAGACAAGGCGGCAGUAAUCAAUCGCGAUCUUGACCUUGAAGGAGAAGCCAGGCCCUUCUCUGGGAUUUUCACCCACGCGCGAAAGGAAGCUGCUGGAGUCGGCUGGCAGGGCGAGGUCUGGGGACAGAGGAAGCAGGUCACCCCCGGGGCUGGGGGGUGGGGGUGCAGCUUCAAGCCCAGAGGGGCUGCCAGCCCGGAGCUGUCCUUGCUCCGUCAGAAGCUGAGGGCUUGUGACCCCCUGAGCUUUUCUUCUCCGCUUGCUCAACCACUAAGCAGCUGAGUGGACUCAUCUCCCCAAACCCACAUCCCCGCCCAUUCAGGGACCGUGCUGGGCAGUGUUGCUGCGAAGAUCUGUGAAAGCCACCCGCCUCCUGCUCGUAGACUCCCUCCCAGGAUUGUGGGGAAAAGAUGCCAUCUGGUAAAGGAAGCCUAUUUCCUUGGGGUCUGCAGGAAAUCCUCCCAGCCUUCCAAAGUGACACCGUCUGGACACGCUUCCCUUCAGCCAAGGACCAUGCUAGUGCAGCAGGACUACACCUACCUGGUCCAGGGCUCAGCAUGACGAAUGAUGUGCCCUUAACAGUCACCUGUGACAGGAGGCGGGACGCUGAGCUCAGGGAAGCUGGGGGAUGUGGGAUUGGGCCCGGAACGCCCCUUCUGCCAUGCAGUCCAAGGCCUCCAGCCCCGCCUGCCAGGGCAGUGGGCUGGGAAGGACGGGAGGCCAGUGGGCACCUGCAGCGUCCAGGUGUCACAAAAUCAUGGGAGGCUCUCCGGGGUUGGAGGAAGGACCCUUCCAGCUCCUACUGAGGCUCCAUCUCCCCAUCAGAUGCUUUCAGCCCCCUAAAUAAGAACUCCUAAUCAGCAACGAUGAGACAGGAAGACAGGCAGCAGGGAGAAGACACUGCCGGCAGCUCUCAGUAGAAGCCUGAGGAGCCAGGAGGGCAAAAACGCUGCUGAAAAGGGUCUCAUCUUCAUUCUUGGAGACACAGAUCACCUGGACUCGCUGAAACGCACUUUAGUCCUCCUGUACCACUCCCAGUGUCUCCACUAGGCUCGUCUGUCCCCGGCCUUCCUGCCCUUGCCCGCUCUGUCUCCUUUUUUUUAAUUUGUUUUUCCUCUUAGGGCUGCAGGUGCAGCAUAUGGAGGUUCCCAGGAUAGGGGUCCAAUCGGAGCUGCCCCUGCCAGCCUACACCACAGCCACAGCAACUCGGGAUCUGAACCACGUCUGCAACCUACACCACAGCUCAGGGCAACACCAGAUCCUUAACCCACUGAGCAAGGCCAGGGAUCGAACCCUCAACCUCAUGGACACUAGUCGGGUUCGUGACCACUAAGCCACGAUGGGAAGUCCCUCCAUCUCCUUCUGAAGUGUGUUUAAGCCCAUCUCUGAGCUGGUGGGGGCUCAGAAACACACUCUCCCUGAGAGCGGCCACAGCGCCCAAGGCCUUGACCAUGGAAGAUAGCGUUGGUCCCACCUCAACGCCAGGAAGGAGGACACAAAGGCGAGCCCAGUGCAGCCCAGCCCCUGGCCCCACCUGAGGCCCGAGUACCCCCAAAGGUCCCCAAGACUCACUUUCUGGAGUCAAGGUGCAAACUCCUGGGGGGCCAAUGAAAGAACGGCAGGUGCGCCAAGGAGAUGAAGGCGGACAGACAUUAACCCCAGAAGGCCAGCUGCUGAUCACCUCCCCCUAGGCUGUCGCAUUCCAACCCAGGGGAGUCCGGCUCCAAGCCACUGAACUCUCCCGGGGCCCUGCCAAGGGAGGGGGGUGGGGGGAGAGCCCAGGAGCCCUCGGGUGUGUUCUGCUCCCAGGUGGAGGCUGUCCUCACCCCCACCCCAACUCUCAGCAGCCCCUCCGGAGACUUGGCCUUCAAGUUCCUGGCAAAGGCCCUUUCCAGCCACAGUCAGCUGAGCGCUCAAGCCCUGCACCCCCUGGGCUCCCUCUGGCUUUCACUCUGGGCUCAAGGCUUCGGCCCCCUGGACCAUCUCGCUGUAAGGAAAGAUGACGGACGACGCAAAUUCGUAAAUGUAUUUAGUUACAGGGCACAGAGAUGAAUAUACAUUUGAAUUUCUAGUUCAAGAACCACUUUCAUGGAGAAGAAUAAAAUUAGGUUACUGAGAAACCUGGGCAGUAUGGGGGCACAGCUCCACGCUGAGGGUGGCCUUCCCCACGGGCCCUUUACAAGGAGAAGACACCAGGACUCUGGGGGUGCCCCCUUCCUGCUUUUACCCAUGGAUCUCAUCUCCAUCUCCCCACGCCCUAUGGGGAAGGUGGGGGCUACGAUCCACCUAUUUCACAGGUGAGAAAACUGAGGAUCGGGAAGCAUCAAAGUGCCUGGGAAAACACGGGAGCCAUGGCGGGCCAGAACUGCUUGGACCUGGACGCCCAAACUCAGGGCCCUCCACCUCGCCGCCCCCUGCAGAGCAGAGGACCCCCUCAGAUGCUCACACAAAGGAGUCUGCUCUCCAGGUCCAGCCUGCCUCCGGCCCCGCCCGCGUGGUUCCAGGGUGGUGAGGCCUGGCCUUGUGCCCAUCACCCCUCCCUCUCUGCUUGUGCUUGGCAUCUUCUGCCAGCGGAGGUGCCAGACUGGCUUCCCAUCAAAGGGUUUCGGAGCCGUCUAGAAUACCCCCCGGCAGAUUUAUGAUGCUUUUCCUCGUCCGCCGGCCUGAGCAAAAGCCCGAACGACCGUCCCCAGGUCGGAGAUGGAGGGAGAAAGCAACGAACACAACACUGUUCCUG